UAAGAAACUUAUGUUUGGAAACUA
Molecule: small nuclear RNA, 24 nt
Filed under: Arabidopsis thaliana (thale cress)
Lineage: Eukaryota; Viridiplantae; Streptophyta; Magnoliopsida; Brassicales; Brassicaceae
Description: snRNA_00927
Source: RNAcentral